UUGAAGAGACAGUUUUUCCAACAGUACUCUGGAGCUGCAAGUUGAAGGGAAAGGUGUGUGGCUGAGACAUCCUGGAAAUCCAUCCAUCAAACAACUGGCCUUGAGGAUUUACUAGCUGUGGUGAGAGAAUAUCUCCAGUCUUCCUGGGGGACAGCUGGACUGGGGAAAGAUCUUGCUGGCACAUCUGAGGACAUCAGCUGGACUCCUGUACCUGAGUCAACAAGGACUCUAUUUGUGAGAAAUCUGGUUACCCGCUGGACUUGCCUUUAGGAAGCUUUGUGGAGGUCCAUCCAAUUGAAGAGGAGGAGAUAAGGCAGAAAAACCAAUGAGAAGGCUACUGCAAUAAUCUAGGAACUAGCAAGGCAACCUGAAGCAAACUGCAGCUGCACAGCCAUCAUUGUGAGCCAGAGACUGACGGAGGUGUUUGGGAAAUUCACUGAACUGAAGAAAGACAACCGUUAGAGAGCAAGAGCUUGUGCUUCUUACUGCUUCAAUGACUCAGAUGGGUUUCAAUGAACUUUCUGUUCAGAGGGAGACCUUUCCGACAAAUCUUACCCUUGGAUCCUCCUCUAAUUCAUUGCAGCUUGCCUCACAGGAAGUAGCCUUGGAAGGGCAAGCAGAGCCUGAAGAUGGCAAAGAUGGCAUUUUAUCUGAAAAGUAGCAGGUGUUGAAAUCCCAAACAGAACAGGCAAGAUUCAUAACGACUUUAUUCAAAGGAAUUUCCAG
Long non-coding RNA from Monodelphis domestica (gray short-tailed opossum), 726 nucleotides. RefSeq lists it as uncharacterized. Lineage: Eukaryota; Metazoa; Chordata; Mammalia; Didelphimorphia; Didelphidae. The record is from RefSeq and is a predicted model, not a curated record.